GCCGAAUUGGUGUAGUGGCUUAACAUUUGACGUUCUCGCAGCUGAAAAGCACCGAGCUCGUCAAGCCCGGGGUUCGAUUCCCCGAUUCGGAG
Molecule: non-coding RNA, 92 nt
Organism: Hypoxylon sp. FL1150
Lineage: Eukaryota; Fungi; Ascomycota; Sordariomycetes; Xylariales; Hypoxylaceae
Source: the annotation of a GenBank genome assembly